UGGGGAAUUUUGGACAAUGGGCGAAAGCCUGAUCCAGCAAUGCCGCGUGUGUGAAGAAGGCCUUCGGGUUGUAAAGCACUUUUGUCCGGAAAGAAAUCCUUGGCUCUAAUACAGUCGGGGGAUGACGGUACCGGAAGAAUAAGCACCGGCUAACUACGUGCCAGCAGCCGCGGUAAUACGUAGGGUGCAAGCGUUAAUCGGAAUUACUGGGCGUAAAGCGUGCGCAGGCGGUUUGCUAAGACCGAUGUGAAAUCCCCGGGCUCAACCUGGGAACUGCAUUGGUGACUGGCAGGCUAGAGUAUGGCAGAGGGGGGUAGAAUUCCACGUGUAGCAGUGAAAUGCGUAGAGAUGUGGAGGAAUACCGAUGGCGAAGGCAGCCCCCUGGGCCAAUACUGACGCUCAUGCACGAAAGCGUGGGGAGCAAACAGGAUUAGAUACCCUGGUAGUCCACGCCCUAAACGACGUCAACUAGUUGUUGGGGAUUCAUUUCCUUAGUAACGUAGCUAACGCGUGAAGUUGACCGCCUGGGGAGUACGGUCGCAAGAUUAAAACUUAAAGGAAUUGACGGGGU
This 571-nucleotide ribosomal RNA is filed under the name uncultured bacterium. RNAcentral's name for it is "partial 16S ribosomal RNA". It matches the Rfam family "Bacterial small subunit ribosomal RNA", at positions 355 to 919 of the family's 1533-position model. The record is from RNAcentral.